CAAGAACACGUUCUCCUUUCUCACCUCCAUUUCCCUGAUAAAGGCUCUAGUAACAUUCUUUUCCUGUUAUAAAAUCUCCUACCAAUCUCCAUGUGCUCCAGUCUUCCUCCAGAAAAAUAGUGUUUGAUCACCUCCUCACAUAUGGUUUCUGUUUUCAAGGAACUGGCAGUUCAGUUGGAAGAUAAGACAUGAAUCAGUAACAAAUAUGAGAUACAUCACAAUCAUGACCAUAAACACAGCAGUAGUUACUGCCAGACACUGUGCUAGCUUUUUAAUACAGGUACGUGAAGACAGCUUACCGUUAAAUGCAAUGAUUCCUGUGUGUGCGUCAGAGGGAAGAGGGAAGGAGGGAAAGGAGGAGGAGCAGGAUAAAAUGGAGAAGAAGAGAGAGAGAGAGGGAGAAGGAAUAGAAGAGAAGAGAAGAAAGAGAAGAGAAGAUGGUGAGAUGGAGCCAGGGAGAGAGGGAAGGGAGAGACAGAGAGAGAAGGAGGUGGGGGAGAAGGGGAGAGAAGGAGGUGGCAGGGAAGAAGGGAGGAAAGGGGGAUGGAGGGAUGGAUGGAGGGGGAGAGAGAAAGAGAGAACAUGCACAGAGAACAUGAGUGGUGAAGCAUCCAUAGACUAUUAAUGCAGUUGAGUUUCAUUCCCCCUUGCUUCUUAUAGCGUGAACUUCUUGCCGCGCUAGGUGUGAUUUUACGCAAUGGCUACUAAAAUAAAAGAACAAAUUAAUUCGUCUCAUGUCCAAAAAAGGAUAUAGCAAUCUGUUCCAACCUUGGAGGCAAAUCUGGUUGUGCUGGACCUAUUGAGAGUGGUGUGUGGUCCCCAAUGUGAGAUUUCCCAAGUUAAGUUUGACUCUAAAUGGUUCUCGUUCUUUACGUAAGGGCUGAGAACACAAUCCCUUUAUAGAAUGCAGUUCCACUGAGGGAUAGAAAGUUCUCUUUAGGAGAGCCAGCUCCGGAAACCUACUGUUCUGGUGAGCAAUCGCAUGGAGACAGCAGCUGGCCCAAAGUGGUCACCCAACAUUUACAUAAGAAAUUGAGCCUGCAGGGAAAUAAGGGAGGCUAAGGAGAAAUAACUGCCAGCAAGAGAGAAGGGCUGAGGUAGGUCAACAGAUUUGAGAGGACUAAGUCCAGCUCAGCGGAGAGGAGCCAGGGCAGGUCUGAGAGAACGCUACGGACCAGAAGAGGUUUGCCAGACUGUCUAGGGCUGCUGCCGAGUGGCCGAGAUGAGCUGCUGGGAAGUGAGCUCAUCCGUCAUUUAGGGCAAUAACUGUCCGAGUUGAGCAUCUAGGAGAGGCAGAGCUGCCAUUUCUAGGGAGAGGAAAGUGCAUUCUUUGGUGGAGGAAAACUAUCAAGAGGAGAUUUUACUUUUCAAAGGGAAUAAUGCGUGUUAGUUAAAAAUAAUACAGUUUGAUGGCUUGGGCUGUUUGUUAUGCAGCCCGCUGUCAGCUUAAGCAGAAUUCAUCUCCCUCCCUGCUCUGUCAAGCAGGAAGGCAGCCAGAGCCUUCCUCAAAGUUCAUAGGAUGGAACUUCUUCCAUCUGCCAAUUACUGUGACCUUAGAAAUUCAACAGACUCUAUCGGGCACAUGCAAGCAACUUAAUCAUGAGCAACACGAAAAUAUUUGCACAACCGGAAGACACACUGUGUAUGAACAUCUUAAGUCAUUUCAAAUAACCAGGAGAGAAAAUGCAUGUGUAGACAGACUCAAGUAGAGCAGAGAUGACAAGCCCAUGAGUGGCAGAGAUGGAGAGUUUUAAAUAUUGUUAAGUUGGGGGCUGUAAUACCUAAUUUUGAAAAAAGUAAAAAAAUAUUAAAGAGCAUGCAGUCUCAUUAAUGACAAUAAAAUGUGGCCCGGAUUGAAUAUAUCAUUGGGCUGAAAAUGUUCUCUGAUGAACAUCACUCUCCAACACGAGGAUACAUGUCUGAAGUCAUAAGCCACUCAGCGGAAGUUGGACUACCUCGGCCUGAAUCUCCCCUCACCAUCAGUCUCAACAGAGCUUUACUGACAAAACAGGAAAGAGGACCUAACAAAUGAUUGUUAAUGUGAUAUUCUGACAAUCGGCUUGUGACACAGGUCACCCUGCCCAGCUCAUCUCCAGUCUUGGAGGGGAUGGGGGAACAGGAGAGACAUGUUGCACAGGCUCAAUCACUUGCUUAAGAACCUGGAUGCGGCGCUUAGACUUUGAGUCCAGACAGUUUGAGGCAUCACCCUGCGGCCUGCAGACCACACCCUGCCCCUGCAGCGUGACGAUACAACAGGGCCCUUAUUUACACAAAGAUGAAGGCUCCUUGACUCAUUUCUGUUGCUAGUGCCUGGACUGCGGGGGCAGCUGCAGUGAAGAGCUACCACACAGGGCAAGAAGCUCUGAUUCUGUAAAGGCUGCAAGAUGUUGCCCAGGAACCUUGAUCUGCUAAGAGAACAGUCACCAAGUCUGAUGAGGCGGCACUUCUAGUAAAUAAAACUGGGCUGUGAAGAUUUAGAAAACAAACUCCUCAAUGCUUAGUGGUUUAAGGAAAACCAGGAAUGGACGAGUAGAACAUUGAAGAAGUAGAACACAUUCACUUCUCUGCCUAUUCCAAACCUCUUCCUCAAACCCCAGUAUAAAUGCCACCUACUUAGCCAAGGUUUAACCCAUCUUCCUAUUUCAAAAUUAUUUGCUUCAUUUUUAUAUGCUUUUGUGCUCCUACAUCAUGCUGCAUAUACAUCUAUUAAAGCACUUUUAGAAAUUCUAUGUUGCACUUGUUAUUUUCUUGUCAGUUUCCUCUACUAUCAGUAUACUCCUUGAGACAAAGUCUGAGUAAUUAAAAAAAUUACAUGUACAUUGGGGUGGCCCGGUGGCGCAGUGGUUAAGUACGCAUGCUCUGCUUCUGCAGCCUGGGAUUUGCAGGUUUGGAUCCCGGGUGCAGGCCUACACACAGCUUGGCAUGACAUGCUGUGGCAGGUGUCCCAGAUAUAAAGUAGAGGUAGAUGGGCAUGGAUGUUGGCUUCUUCCUCAGCAAAGAGAGGAGGACUGGCAGCAGAUGUU
RNAcentral lists this long non-coding RNA (3023 nucleotides) under Equus caballus (horse). RNAcentral's name for it is "lncRNA (ENSECAG00000050144.1)". The record is from RNAcentral. Lineage: Eukaryota; Metazoa; Chordata; Mammalia; Perissodactyla; Equidae.